GUCACUCAGUCAACAUGUAUACUCCUUGACUGAGCAGUGUUUGAGUGGGCACCAAGCUUAGACAUGUGUGUAGGGAGGCAAUUAUAACUAGUUACAGCCAUCCUGCCUCUUCUGUCCUCCUCUCUUCCCCAGCCUUAGCCCCCCAGCCUCAUGGGGCCCAGAGUCCUCCUUCAGAUGAGGCCAGUGUCCCAGGCAACUACCUGACGUGGGAAAAGCUGCCGUCCUAGAGAUCAGAAAGAACCCACCAGUCAGGAACAGCAAUUCUGAUGAUGUCAGCUUCUAAGUUUUCAGAAGCGACAGCCUCUGGUGUUCUUACAGCAUCAGAAGAGCAGAAAAGCUGGCCACUUAUGAACCCACACAUUGUUACAGAGCAUCUCGGCUUUCUGCCAAGGAGCACCACUCAGGCUUUAAAGAUUUGUCCUUUGAUUUUACUUUUUAGGGCAUCUUGAGACAAUGUUCUGCCUACACAAAAUUCUAAACUGAGAGGAGUGGCUCAGAAGCUCUACUAACAUGGAAUCACAUGUGAUUCAAGAGAGUGCCAAAGGAAACAACAGGACAGAAGGAGACAUGAGGAAGAGAUGGGACAGACAGCACUCAACCCUGAGCAGACGUGAGGGGCAAAAGAAAAGGCAACAUUAAGGACCCAUUCAAGUUUCAAGUCUCAGCGUCCCAGAGGAUGCUGAAAUCUCUCAUCUAUGCUGACUCUACCUCCGAAUGCGUGACAGAACCAGCCAGGAAACAUUUCUCACAGAAAUAUGAAGCACUUGGAUUUGAAUUGUGUAAUUUCCCUUUAGAGGCCAUCCUUAAGAAUUGCGUGCCUUGCAUGUUGAAGAAUUUCUGUCUUUGGUUACCUGACAUCUGAAUAAAUGCUAACGAUCUCACCAGUCAGUCCACAGAGUCCACUGUUUAUGUGCUUCAGCCUGUAAUGGGAGACAUGCGGGAAAACACAAAAGAAGGAAAAGAGAGUACUCCUGCUUGCAAGAUGCUUUCCAUCUCAUCCAGCAGAGAACCUGGUCUAAGAGAGGUGUAAAGAAUGUGCCUAUUCUAUAAGGGAACAGAGGCCAGAAACCAGCAAGGCUGUGGACCUAACCAGCUGUAAAGGCAGAGAAGUUUUAAACAGAAAAGGCUGCUGGGCCUUGGCAUGUAUUUUGCAAUGGUUUGUGGUGUGAGGGAUGUUUGGAGCAAUUGUAAACAGGAACUGCUAUGUCCUUAUUAGGAAUAAUCACUUCUCCAGGCAAAGAAGUGGCUGUUGAGGCUUUUAAACACGUUUUGUGCUUAAGGUUUCCUCUCUCCCUCCUAGCCCAAGCCUAUUCUCCCCAUUCCUCCUGUAGGAACUCAUUGAAGCUGUACUGCGUGGUUGCUCUUUGUGAUUGCUGCUUGGCAGAACCCAAGAAAAGAAACAUCCAGGGACUCCAUCUGGCUGGAUUCACCUUGAUCCUAACUGCUCACAAGAGCUGUUUAUUCCCCCAACAC
RNAcentral lists this long non-coding RNA (1473 nucleotides) under Homo sapiens (human). RNAcentral's name for it is "HSALNT0313845". Lineage: Eukaryota; Metazoa; Chordata; Mammalia; Primates; Hominidae. The record is from RNAcentral.